UAGGGAAUAUUGGACAAUGGGGGCAACCCUGAUCCAGCCAUGCCGCGUGAGUGAAGAAGGCCCUCGGGUUGUAAAGCUCUUUUGUCCGGAAAGAAAAGCUUCGGGUUAAUACCCCGGGGUUCUGACGGUACCGGAAGAAUAAGCACCGGCUAACUUCGUGCCAGCAGCCGCGGUAAUACGAAGGGUGCAAGCGUUACUCGGAAUUACUGGGCGUAAAGCGUGCGUAGGUGGUUGUUUAAGUCUGAUGUGAAAGCCCUGGGCUCAACCUGGGAAUGGCAUUGGAAACUGGGCAGCUAGAGUGCGGUAGAGGGUAGUGGAAUUCCCGGUGUAGCAGUGAAAUGCGUAGAGAUCGGGAGGAACAUCUGUGGCGAAGGCGACUGCCUGGACCAGCACCGACACUGAGGCACGAAAGCGUGGGGAGCAAACA
Molecule: ribosomal RNA, 427 nt
Filed under: uncultured bacterium
Lineage: Bacteria
Description: bacterial SSU rRNA
Rfam family: Bacterial small subunit ribosomal RNA
Source: RNAcentral